UGGGAUAAAGUUACUCUUUCGAAACAAUCGUGAUCAUUCGAGCGUACAGGGGACAAUAACGACACCCUCGGGAGUGUCCAGGAUGAAUCCCGGCUAACACGAUUACCAGACAAUUCGUUCGAUCAAUUUACCUGACAAACGCACCACCGGCGUGAACUCGAACGAGACCAUUCGUGAGAUGUAUAAAAGGAAAUAUGAAGUAAUAAGAAAUUCUUCAAAAUCAGUGUUAAAAAUGGGAAGAUCCUUCCGAACCAGAGACGAUGGGAUACGCAGGAACGUAAGCGUAACGGCGCCCAUGGGACGAGCAGGGUAACGCGAUUAGGUGGCACAGCACUGGCUUGAUUUAUCCGCGUACCAAAGCGUUAUUGCAUUAGCGCCCCGACGACGACGCCGCUGGACUGCGUCCCGGGGAUGGUUUCAGCCAUCGCCAGCACCAGAAGUCCGUUCUGUCCAGUGAACCGUGAAUCAUCCCCAAGAAUUAUGUCUUGCGCGAUCUUGCCAGGACGGCUGAUUUAUAUCCUUGCUCGCCGUUUAACACAUUUUAAUGACCCUUUAUACUGCAUCUAUACUACACCGUCAUUCAAGGCUAGGCCUGUCCAGUCCCAGAGCUUCCUGGUGUCGUCUCGCCUUCAGCCUGAGGUCGGCGAUGCUGCUGUUCUUUGAUCGAGCCGCGGC
Molecule: long non-coding RNA, 675 nt
Organism: Osmia bicornis bicornis
Lineage: Eukaryota; Metazoa; Arthropoda; Insecta; Hymenoptera; Megachilidae
Exons: 3
Source: RefSeq, a predicted model, not a curated record